AGCUUUGCAACUAACUAGCAAAUACAUUCCUCCUUGACCGCAGAAUGGCAGUCAGAUCUCAUCUUGGAUCAAGAAGCUGCUAGUCAAUAUAUUAAAUAUUAUGUUUUUGCAUGAAUUCUUCUAGUUGCUGUUUAAAUAUUUGUACAGACUCUGGUAAAACCAUCUCUUCAGGCAGAAAAUUACACAUCGGUCUUUUCCUUUGCCUUAGACUAAUUAUCCUUUCUUCCAGUUUAAAUGUGUGACCUAGGUCCUAUCUAUAGUCCUAUAUUUGAAUAGAAUAGACAAAAGGGCAGUCAAAAUUAAUUGGGUAAUUGUAGCUGAACAUGUUACAACAAAUGUUGAUACCUGGAGUGUCUCUUGAAAGGUAUACUAUAGGCAUCAAAACAACUUUUAGCUUAAUGUAGUUUGGCUGUAUCAGAUGAUAACUUACUUUAGAAGUUUCUCUUGCUCUGUAAAUUGAACUUCAGGAGGCUCCUAAAGGGUCUAGACAGCUAUUUAAGUUUAAACAUUAGAUGUAUUUUUACAGGAAGUGUCUAAAAAUGAUGUGUAAGUCACUUGCAGGAAGGUGUGACUAGGGCUACAUAAACAAAGUAAAUUAACUUAUAAAUGGCAGAGGAGCAGCAGUAUGACUGCAUGAUCUAUAUACACACACCAAAACAGCUUUAUUAAGCUAAAGUUGUUUUGCUGCCCACAGUGCCCCUAAAGUCUGUUUUAGAGAGAGUUGCAUAAAUGUGUUUUUAAAAAAAAAAAUCAUAUUCACUGUAUAUAUCUAAAACUGUUUAAAAGCAAGAACCCAUUAAUUAUAGUAUGCCAUUUUUGCAUUUGAAUGACAUGUGCAUACUUCUAAUGUUAUAUCAACCUAUUAAAGCUUGCCAAAAUUCAAAGAAAUGGAUUUAAU
Pelobates cultripes (western spadefoot toad) is the source of this 898-nucleotide non-coding RNA. The record is from the annotation of a GenBank genome assembly. NCBI's taxonomy places the organism in Eukaryota, Metazoa, Chordata, Amphibia, Anura, Pelobatidae.